CAAAUACUUUUUCACAAAAACAAUUUAAAUCGAAUAUCAACUUUGAUAACAUGAAGAUCAACUGGCACAAUCAUUAGACGACUGGUGACCCAGGUGGUCAAGAUAAAUGGAUAAGUGACUGGCAGGCGUAGGUUAAUAUCACUCUAUGCUUGCAGUUAGUUUUUGCGGCAUUGGCCAGUUAUCAAGAUAACGGAAAAGUACGGUGCAUU
Molecule: non-coding RNA, 209 nt
Organism: Cinara cedri
Lineage: Eukaryota; Metazoa; Arthropoda; Insecta; Hemiptera; Aphididae
Source: the annotation of a GenBank genome assembly